AGCGGCGGACGGGUGAGUAACGCGUGGGUAACCUGCCUCAUACAGGGGGAUAACAGUUGGAAACGGCUGCUAAUACCGCAUAAGCGCACAGUACCGCAUGGUACGGUGUGAAAAACUCCGGUGGUAUGAGAUGGACCCGCGUCUGAUUAGGUAGUUGGUGGGGUAACGGCCCACCAAGGCAACGAUCAGUAGCCGACCUGAGAGGGUGACCGGCCACAUUGGGACUGAGACACGGCCCAG
RNAcentral lists this ribosomal RNA (240 nucleotides) under uncultured bacterium. Its description in RNAcentral is "partial 16S ribosomal RNA". It matches the Rfam family "Bacterial small subunit ribosomal RNA", at positions 94 to 334 of the family's 1533-position model. The record is from RNAcentral.